UGGACAUAUUAUUGUAUUCGACUGUAUUCAGGCGUGAAACAUGGGAUUAUACUGUUUUUAAACGGAAAGUGAAUCAAUUAACAUAAUAGACUCCU
RNAcentral lists this microRNA precursor (95 nucleotides) under Nicotiana sylvestris (wood tobacco). RNAcentral describes it as "MIR6152 microRNA precursor family". It matches the Rfam family "MIR6152 microRNA precursor family". Lineage: Eukaryota; Viridiplantae; Streptophyta; Magnoliopsida; Solanales; Solanaceae. The record is from Rfam by way of RNAcentral.